Long non-coding RNA from Mus musculus (house mouse), 767 nucleotides. RefSeq annotates it as RIKEN cDNA 4930404H11 gene. The transcript has 3 exons. The record is from RefSeq and is marked validated. NCBI's taxonomy places the organism in Eukaryota, Metazoa, Chordata, Mammalia, Rodentia, Muridae.
AACCUCCCAACCCAGCAGUCCGGUUUCAACAUGGAUGUUUGUGGGGACAAACUGUAUUCAAGUCUAAGCCAGAUCUUUGCGGUCUCCUCUUCUGAGACACACAUGAAUCCUGCCUUCAAUUAUCACCUCCAUGAGAACGCGACCUCCCACGCUUCUUUUUUCUUGGCUGUUCUGAUGGUGAGGUCAUCCUGGCACUUGAGUUGUUGUGGAACUCCCAAACUGAAGCACUCCCUCCUAGGGCAGGGCAGAGGGGCACAAGAAGACUCAAGGAGCUAAGAAGGUAUCAUCAACUGUGUAAGGCAGAAUCACGGUCCUCCAAAGAUGUCAAUAUGAGAAACCCAAUCAUCUGCAGGCAUCAUCUCACCCAGAAAUAAAAACUUUGCCAACAGAGGCUUGAGGUAGAAGAAACCAUCAAGAUUCAUCAGUCUAAUGACACAGGUUUUUAAAAUAGAGAACGUUUCUGAGCAGCACAGAGCUAGAAGGGGGAUGGUGUGAGAAGCUUUACCAUCGCCAACACUGAAGAUGGAGGGAGGCACCCAUAAACCCAGGGUGUAAGAAACCUCAAGACAGGGAAAGACCUGGCAAUGGAUUCUCUUUCCCAAGAGCCUCCAGACGGGGAUAUAACCUUGACAUUACAUCUUGCCUGCUGCCUUCUAGCUUACAGAGCUUAAGAGGUAGAGAGGUGGCUUAGUGUGCCUUGAAUAAACUGAAAUAUGUGUGGUGGUCUGUGAUCACAGCAGGAAGAUUAAAAAGAAAAUUUAAAGUUG